UGUUGCCUGCAAGGGCGUAUGGUGGAUGCCUUGGCAGACAGGACCGAUGAAGGACGUUUGAGGCUGCGAUAUGCCUCGGGGAGCCGCCAACAGGGCUUUGAUCCGAGGAUUUCCGAAUGGGGGAACCCACCGGCCGUCAUGGGCCGGUACCGCCGUGUGCGGGGGGUACGCAGGGAAGUGAAACAUCUCAGUACCUGCAGGAAAGGAUAUUCCGUGAGUAGUGGCGAGCGAAAGCGGAUCAGGCCAAACCUUGCGCGUGUGAUACCCGUCGGGGGUUGCGCGCGGGGUGUAGAGGGAUCGCGUUUGCCGGCUCCGACGGGCCGGCCGUCAGUUGCAUAAAACCAUGUGCCAGGGGAACCGGGUUGAAUACCGGGCCGCAGAGGGUGAGGGCCCCGUACCCGAACGCGCAUGGUCUGGCGAUCGCGUCUCCCAAGUAGCACGGGCCCCGUGGAAUCCCGUGCGAAUCUGUCCCGACCGUGGGAUAAGCCUAAAUAUUCCUGUCUGACCGAUAGCGAACGAGUACCGUGAGGGAAAGGUGAAAAGUACCCCGGGAGGGGAGUGAAACAGUCUCUGAAACCAUGCGCCUACGAACCGUCGGGGCCCUCUUGUGGGGUGACGGCGUGCCUAUCGAAAAAUGAGUCUGCGAGUCAGUGGCAUGUGGCGAGCAUAACCCGUGUGGGGUAUGCGUAGCGAAGGCGAGUCUUAAAAGGCGUUUAAAGUCGCGUGUCCUGGACCCGAAGCGGGAUGAUCUAGCCCUGAGCAGGUUGAAGCGCGGGUAAGACCGUGUGGAGGACCGAACCCACCUGGGUUGAAAACCGGGGGGAUGACUUGGGGCUAGGGGUGAAAGGCCAAUCAAAUUCCGUGAUAGCUGGUUCUCUCCGAAAUGCAUUUAGGUGCAGCGUCGGAUCGAUUACAUCCGGGGGGUAGAGCGACUGGAUGCUUGCGGGCCCAUAUCGGGUACCAACAGCAACCAAACUCCGAAUACCCGUGAUGCGUAUCCCGGCAGUGAGUCGGCGGGGGAUAAGCUCCGUCGUCGAAAGGGAAACAGCCCAGAUCGUCGUCUAAGGUCCCCAAGCGUGUGCUAAGUGGGAAAGGAUGUGGAGUCGCAUAGACAGCCAGGAGGUUGGCUCAGAAGCAGCCACCCUUGAAAGAGUGCGUAACAGCUCACUGGUCUAGUGGUUCCGCGCCGACAAUGUAGCGGGGCUCAAGCACACCACCGAAGACGCGGCAGUAGCUUUGCUACUGGGUAGGAGAGCGUCCCAUGCGGGGCGAAGCGGCGGCGCAAGCCCGCCGUGGACCGCAUGGGAGUGAGAAUGCAGACAUGAGUAGCGAAAGACGGGUGAAGAUCCCGUCCGCUGGACGACCAAGGGUUCCAGGGCCACGUUCAUCGUCCCUGGGUGAGUCGGGUCCUAAGGCGAGGCCGACAGGCGUAGUCGAAUGGACGAACGGGUCGAUAUUCCCGUACCGGCAUGCAACCGGCAAAACCGAAUCCGCGAGUACUAACCUCCGGGUCCGGGCUCACGUCUCCUUCGGGAGCCGGAUGCCCUGGCCUGUUGGGACCGUAACGGUAGUAGGUCAGCGCGGGAGUGACGCAGAAGGGUAGCCGGCCGCGGAGGUGGUCUUCCGUGGUCAAGCACGCAGCCCGUCCCACAGGCAAAUCCGUGGGGCGCGUGGGCGAGGUGCGAUGAUGGGCGCCGCAGGGCGCGAUAUCCGGUGAUCCCGGCUGCCGAGAAAAGCUUCGGCGUGAGGCGGCAUGCCGCCCGUACCCCAAACCGACACUGGUGGUCAGGUAGAGAAUACCAAAGCGAUCGAGCGAAUCCUGGUCAAGGAACUCGGCAAAUCACUCCCGUUCCUUCGGUUUAAGGGAGACCCCCGAUGGUGAAGCGGCUUGCCCGCGGAGCUUUUGGGGGUGGCACAGACCAGGGGGUAGCGACUGUUUACCAAAAACACAGGAGCGUGCGAAGGCGCAAGCCGCUGUAUACGCUCUGACGCCUGCCCGGUGCCGGAAGGUUAAGAGGAUCCGUCAGGCCUCGGCCGAAGCGGUGAAUUCAAGCCCCGGUAAACGGCGGUGGUAACUAUAACCAUCCUAAGGUAGCGAAAUUCCUUGUCGGGUAAGUUCCGACCUGCACGAAUGGCGUAACGACUUCCCCGAGUAAAGAUGCUCGUUAAGCGCAGAAGGACGAAAAGACCCCGGGACCUUUACUAUACCUUGGUAUUGGCAUUCGGUGUGGAUUGUGUAGCAUAGGCGGAAGGCUUCGAAGCCACGGCGCCAGCCGCGGUGGAGCCGCAAGGUGAAAUACCGCUCUGUUCGCAUUGGAUGUCUAACCUCGACCAGUCAUCCUGGUCAGGGACAGUGCCUGGCGGGUAGUUUAACUGGGGCGGUUGCCUCCCAAAGAGUAACGGAGGCGCUCAAAGGUUCCCUCAGCCCGGUUGGCAAUCGGGUGGCGAGUGUAAGUGCACAAGGGAGCUUGACUGCGAGACUGACGGGUCGAGCAGGGACGAAAGUCGGAACUAGUGAUCCGGUGCCGGUGUACGGACGCGGCAUCGCUCAACGGAUAAAAGGUACCCCGGGGAUAACAGGCUGAUCAUUCCCAAGAGUCCAUAUCGACGGGAUGGUUUGGCACCUCGAUGUCGGCUCG
RNAcentral lists this ribosomal RNA (2639 nucleotides) under human vaginal metagenome. Its description in RNAcentral is "bacterial LSU rRNA". It matches the Rfam family "Bacterial large subunit ribosomal RNA", at positions 1 to 2539 of the family's 2925-position model. The record is from RNAcentral.